UAUAUAUAUAUAUAUAUAAAGCCUGGAAACAUAUAAAAGGCAAAUGGCUGGGAAACAAGGGAACGUUUGUGACGGACAAAGAGGUAAUGUGCUUUGUAAAGAGCUCUUAGAUGAAGGGCCUAAGAGACUUACUAACAAAGGAACUAAAAAGACAAUUUGUAAAAGGAAUAUAAAUGGCCAUGAGUCAUAGGAGGGAAUUGAGUGUCAUUAAAGUCAAAUGAUUGGGAAUAAAAAAUGAGAGACAGUUUUCACCCAUCAAUUGAAACUGCCCACUGCCCUCCUGUGGCUGUCAGCUGGACCGCGGGGGCUGCUGGUCCAUGAGGACUUCUGUUCUUGGUCACUGUGACCGACAUGAUUCCUUGAUGAUUUCCACACCCACAUGCAGGAACCAUGCGGUGCCCUGGCCUCCCAGCUCUUUGACCUUUCCCUUCUCCAGUGAACUUGUUCUCCACCAAGCCCCUGACAUCUGCUCCCAUCCUGACACCCAGCGUUAUUAUCCAUAACUACAGCUUCUCUCAAGGGCAGUUUCUAAGAUCCCACACUCCGGCCGCUAUCUCCUCUCUUUCCAUCUCUGACUCCAGCCAUCUUUUGGCCUUGGGGGCCACUCAUUGCUGUUUUCACUGCUAGCCUUUCCUGUCCCUCCUUCCUCAGCUUAAACACCAAGGUCGCUCAGUGUCAUCCCUCCUUUGCCUCCCUCUCUUUUGUAAUCACUUGCCUGACUACAACCCUGGUUGAAGCCAUGUCACUGCAUGCAUGUGCCCUGGUGAUAUGGCUGCAUAGACAACCACACAGACAGGGACUUCCAGUGGGUCCAUAAUGCUGCCGGGGCACCACCCUCUAUUUCCUGAGCCCAUUCAUUCUUUCUUUCCUUAGAUGACUAUUUCCUAUCUUCUAGCUUUUCCUCAAACCUCCAACACAUCCUCUCAUCCUCACUCUCAGCUGUCACCCUUGCUUCCUAUCUCACUAACAAUGUAGAAACAAUGUAGAAACAAUCGGCCGGGCGCGGUGGCUCACGCCUGUAAUCCCAGCACUUUGGGAGGCCGAGGCGGGCGGAUCACGAGGUCAGGAGAUCGAGACCAUCCUGGCUAACACGGUGAAACCCUGUCUCUACUAAAAAUACAAAAAAUUAGCCGGGCGAGGUGGCGGGCCCCUGUAGUCCCAGCUACUCCGGAGGCUGAGGCAGGAGAAUGGCGUGAACCCCAGGGGGCGGAGCCUGCAGUGAGCCGAGAUUGCGCCACUGCACUCCAGCCUGGGCGACAGCGAGACUCCGUCUCAAAAAAAAAAAAAAAAAAAAAAAAAAAAAAAAAAAGAAACAAUCGAGCUUCCCCCACGAUGGGUACCAUUGCUCCCCCUUUCCCGCAUUGCAUCCCAUCCUCUUGCACCCAACCAAGCACUUUGCCCCAACAAUUCUCCAACCAGUUCUUCCCGCCUACAGGAUUAUUUCCAUCAUCAUACAAACAUUAUUUUAUUUCUCCCGUCCUAAAAAAAGAACCGUCUCUCGAUCAAAUGCCCCUUUCUCUCCUUCCUUUGCCAUCAGAGCUCCUAAUAAGAUUAGUCUAUAAUCACUGUCUCCACUUUCUCUCUUGAACCUACUCCAGUCAGGUCUUUGCUCCUCUCAUUCCACUAAGACUGGUUCUCAUGGGCACCAGUGGCCUCCUUAUUGCUAAUCUAAUGGUCAAUUCUUAGUCUUCAUCUUAAUCCUGAUCCCUCCAGCCUCCCUGAGACUUCUCCACUUGGCUUCUGGGUCACCGCAUUCUCUUGAUUGUUUUCUUGCCUCUCUGUCUGCUCGUCCUCAGUAUCCUUUGCUGAUUCCUUCUGGCAUCCAAACCUCUGAACACAGGCGUGCCCACAGCCUUCAUCUUUGGACAGAUCCUCUUUUCUGUCCAUUCUAUGUGCUGUUAAUUCCUGUGUGCCCUCAGCCUUGACCUCUCCCUAAGCUUCAGUCCUCUAUCCAACUGUCUACUUGGUGUCUCUACUAGGAUGUCUUAAACCGUAUCUCAUAUUAAUAAGCUCAUAUCUGAGGUCUUGAUCUCCACCCUCUACCCCUGUUCUGUUUUGUUCCUUUGCCAACUUCUCCAACUUAGUAAAUGGCAACUUCAUUCUCCAAGCUGCUCAGGUCAAAAAGCUGGGACUCACCCUGACUCUUUCUUAGCUCUCCCCCAUCCCCGAAUCAGCAAAUCCUGUAGGUGCACGUGCCACCUUCACGUCUCUAGAUUUCAAUCUCUUCUCACCAUCCCCAUCACGUCUAUUCCAUUGCCACCAUCAUCUCCAUCCUAGAUUACGGCACUAGCCUCCUUCGUUCCUUAGCCCACCUCAGCCUGUUCUGAACACAGCAGCGAGAGGGAUCUUGUUAAAUUCCAAGUCAAACCCUCCAGUGCUCCCCUUCUCUUCCAGGGAAAGUUGAAUUCCACACGGUCCUCCAUAACACAUCUAUCUCCUCCUCCCCUUCUGAUUUCGGUUACUCCUCUGACAUCACUUACACACAUUACUCUUCUCCUCUCUGCCUUUCUUCGGCCACACUGAUUUUGCUUUACCUCGAACUUGCCAACCAGGCUCUCAUCUCACACCUUCUCACUUGCCGAUCCCUCAUGUCUGCAAUCUUGUCCUCCAGAUAUUUGCACGCCAUCUCCCUAUUUAGCACUUUACUCAUAUCUCCCCAGUAAGCCCUUCUCUGCCCACCCCAUCUAAAAUUCACGCCCCUUUCACCCAACACUUCCAGUUGUUAUUGCUAGAUUUAUUUUUCUCAUUAGCAUUUACAAUGAACAUGCUGCAUACUUUACUGAUUUCCCUUGUUUACUGACAGCCUCCUGCACAAGAAUGGAAACUCCAGGAAGCAGGAAUUCCUUAUCUCACUUGCUCAUUGCUGUAUCUCAGCACCCAGCCCAGAGCCUACCACCUAGUAAAUGCCUAAUAAGUAUUUUUUUGAGUGACAAGAUACUAAAUAUGAUAAUUCGCAGCCUUGGCAUGAAUGUGGCCAAAUGGUCACUCUCAUCUUUGCUUGGAAGUUUCAAUUACUAAAACCUUUCUAGAGAGCAGUUUGGCAAUUUGAAUCAAGAACAUUUAAGGCCAGGUGCGUUGGCUCAUUCAUGUAAUCCCAGCACUUUGAGAGGCCGAGGCGGGCAGAUCACUUGAGCUCAGGAAUUUGAGACCAGCCUGGGCAACAUGGGAAAACCUGGUCUCUACAAAAAAUACAAAAAGUAGCCUGGUGUGGUGGCUCUUAUCUGUAGUUCCAGCUACUCAGGAGGCUAAGGUGGGAGGAUUGCUUGAGCCUGGGAGGUCGAGGCUGCAGUGAGCCAUGCUCGCGUCACUGCACUCCAGCCUGGGCGACCCUGUCUCAAAAAAAGUGUGUGUGUGUGUGUGUGUGUGUGUGUGUGUGUGUAUAAUGAGAUGUAGAGACUUACAAAAGGAAUGUUCAUCAAAGUUGCUUAUAGUAAAGGGGAGUUGGAAACCAUAUAGUGUCCAACAAUAAAGGGCUGCUUAAAAAUUAUGAAUCAGCUAUACAAAGGAAUAUUGUAGAGUCAUCAAAAUUAUACUUUUAUGCGUAAUUUAAUGGGAAAAUGUGCAUUGUCUAUUUCACAAAACAAAGAUAUUAAAUUUUGUAUAGAAUUAUCCCAGAUAUAUAUGAAUGUGUGUAUAUAUGUAUACAUGUGUACAUAUAUAUGUAUACACAUGUACAUAUAUAUACACAUGUACAUAUAUAUGUAUACACAUGUACAUAUAUACACACAUGUACAUAUAUGUAUAUAUACACACGUACAUAUAUGUAUAUUUGUAUACACAUGUACAUAUAUACACACAAAUAUAGUAUAUCUAUAAGAGAGACAGGAAAUACUGGCUUUCUGUUUGUGAUGAAAUGCAAAUUCCUUAUGUAUUUUUCCAAAAUGUUUAAAAUGAGGCUUUUGUAAUCAGAAGUAUAUAAGCCCCCUUCCCCCAAAGAAAAUGAUUAUUCUACUGCCCGUCUUGACUGUAUUCUUACUUGGGGGCAGGGUGGGUGGCGUGAACAGGGAGAGCUAAUCUCUCCUUCUUUCUGACUCAUUCCACAGUCAAUCCUUUUUCUUAUUAUUUUCCAAAGGCAUGAGGACCUUCCAUGUUCCGAAACCAUUGUCCAGAGUAUUUCUUCUGGACUAUUUUCCACUUCCUUCCAUCUGACCGGCCAGCUGUUCUGCAUUUGUAAAAGCUGGUUUCUGAUGUCAUCUCUAGGCAGGACCGCUCCCUCCCUCUCCUGCACUCCUAUACUUCGUGGCAUAUCCGCCCCAAGAUAACACUUGUCACUCUGUUUUCCAAAUUCAGUUUCAUUCAUUUGCUUCACAUGUGCACUGAGCCCACUGACUUCUUUCCCUGUCUGUUGCCAGCACUGGAGACCAAGCCUGCACGCUUUGGCCCAGACCAUCUCAUUCACCUUUUAACACAGAAUCAGGGCCAUUCUCAAGCACAACCUGGGUGAGGCUCUGUCAUUGCUUAAUGGAUCAGCUGUAUAGUAACAGCAGAAGAUAAAACAUGAGAAGGUGUUUCAUUAUGUUGCCUAGGCUGGCCUCGAACUCCUGAGCUCAAGAGAUCUGCCCACCUCAGCCUCCCAAAGAGCUGGGAUUACAGGCAUGAGCCACCAUGCUUGGCCUGGACAUCUUUUAUGUGAAGAGAGGGCUUCCAGAUCAGCUAAAGUAUCAACAAGAAUGAAAAUGACACUUCAAAGGAUUUAAGUGAAGAGAGUGUCGUGAAGAUUAUUUGUAGAGAUGUGGGAUCAGAUGAGAAACACCCUGGGACCAGAAACAGCAGAAGCCCUAAUGCCUGCCAAAGGGCAAGACCAGGGUGAGCUCCUACCCACAGUAUCUGGCGAGAGCUGGAGCCCUGAGACAGGGAUGGGGCCUACUGGCACUUGGAAAGUGUACUGGGGUCUUAGUGAACUGAUGUCAUUUCCUCUUCUCUUCCCCAGGAUUUGAGAUUUCUAAAAACAACAACAACAACAACAACAACAACAACAAAACCCUAUACAAAUCUAAAUUAGUUAAAAAAAAAAAAACUAAAGUGGUUGGAUGGGAGCUAUGGCUUAGGAAGAGAAACACAGCCCAUCAAAGAGGGACUAGGGAUUUAAAUAACCCUCUCUUCUCUCUUCCUGUCCAUGCCUUCUGUUGGGUGAAACUAGCAGCCAGAAGGCAAGGGGGCCUGGGUGGAGAUGUCCAGUGGCAUUAGCCUCCCAGGUACAGAGAGAUGCAGAGAAAGAUGCAAAAUAGACCUGGAGUAGCUGAGAAUCAUCUUGUCAUUUGUCACCUAUUAGCCAGUUGCUUUGUCCAAGGCCUUGAGCCUCAGUUUUCUAUAGAGUGGGCAUCAAACUUGUCUACCUCUUGUCUGCCUCACAGGGCCAUGGGGAACAGCCAGUGAAAGUGUUAAAAUCAUUCGCUUGCCAUUUGACCCUCUUCUUCAUCUGCAUUAUCUCACUUAAUUCCUCAACAGCCGGGUAGGGUAUAAGGCAGAGAGGCCAGGGGACAAGGACAGGCAGGCACUUUGGAAUCAGAAGAAGAGGUCAUCAACUGUGGCUCAGCCAAGCUUUUUAACUGUGAGAUCAUGGGAAACUGAAGCUCUCUGAACCUCAGCUAUUGUCUUACUUUGAGCUCCCCCAAAAUCACAUCCUGAGACAAAUAUUUGAGUGCAAAUAGUUCAUUUGGGAGCUGAUCCCAGGAUGCACCAGGAGGGACUGGGCAGGGACUCAGAAAAGGGAAGAAACCCAAUUAUUGGUGUAUUCACAAGUGGGCAACUCGGUCUCAGUGCCACAACUGUGAUGAAGACUGUGCAGGACACAUCCUGGGGUUGGUGGAAUGCAGGGUGCGGGUGCUGGGGUGUUUAUUCACCACCUUCCAUCCCUCACUGGCUGAGGGUUGUUCUUGGAAGUUUUAACUCCCUGGCCAUUUCACACUGCCUGCUGUGGCCAGAGGAGACUCAAGCAGCCAGAGAGUGCCAUGGGGUGGAGACACACAGGAAGCCACAUAGAUGCCCUCCAGCAUGGGCCAGGAGGGAAUGUCUGGGGGACCGACAGCAUCCGUUUUGUUUUUCUAAUUUGUAUGCUAGAGAUGAUGUCUAUGUCACAGGACAGUGACAGAGAUGAAAUGAUUAAUGAUUAAAUGGCUAAAUGUCUUCCAAGUGCCUGGCUCAUAGUAGGUAUCCAAAGAAAAGGAGGCAUUCAUAGUAAAGAUGGGUAAAUAUUCAUGUGUUACAGAUGGAAGCAAAUGGGACUCAAAGAAGUUAAGACAUUUGCCCUAAAUCACACAGACAGUUCUUAAAUGGCCAAGUCAGAUCUGGCCCCAGUUUGUUCCCCUUCCACUCUGCCGUGGCUACCUCCUGUUAAUGGACUAUACAUUUAGAGUGCUUUUGCCUCAUAAAGUGUGUGAAGCUCCAUAAAUAUAAAAUGUUUGUAGUCCCAGCCUUGCUAGCUCAAAUCCAAGUUAAAUUGACUCUUGGGUAGUUCUUCUCUCAGCCCCAAUUCUCAUAAGCUCAAAUAUAUAUUUUCUUAGUCCCCUGGGAUCCUCCAUUCUGUGCCCCAACAAUCCCUAACCCUUCAUUAGUAAUGCCUAGAUGUCUCCACAUAUUUCAAGGGGUGCCAGAAAGUCUCCAGACAAAAUAAAAGAUGCCAUAAAACACCAAGUGCAUAAAACUCUAGACACCUUGUUCUCCAUGUCAUGUUUCCUUUUAAAAACAAAUAUUUUGAAAUGCCCUCUUUACUAUCCUGCUGAUACACACAUAAAAACUAAUAAAAUGCACAAACUCUUUUCUUAAAAAUUGUGGGAAGAUAUACAUAAUAAAAAAUUUACCAUUUUAACCA
Long non-coding RNA from Homo sapiens (human), 6811 nucleotides. RefSeq lists it as uncharacterized. The record is from RefSeq and is a predicted model, not a curated record. The transcript has 4 exons. NCBI's taxonomy places the organism in Eukaryota, Metazoa, Chordata, Mammalia, Primates, Hominidae.